GGUUAUGGCUCAGUGGUAGGGUGCUUGCCUAACAUGUAUGAGGCCCUGAGUUUGAUCCUCAGCACCA
Molecule: transfer RNA, 67 nt
Filed under: Marmota monax (woodchuck)
Lineage: Eukaryota; Metazoa; Chordata; Mammalia; Rodentia; Sciuridae
Description: tRNA.Val
Source: RNAcentral